CCUACGGGAGGCAGCAGUGAGGAAUAUUGGUCAAUGGACGAGAGUCUGAACCAGCCAAGUAGCGUGAAGGAUGACUGCCCUAUGGGUUGUAAACUUCUUUUAUAUGGGAAUAAAAUGUUCCACGUGUGGGAUUUUGUAUGUACCAUAUGAAUAAGGAUCGGCUAACUCCGUGCCAGCAGCCGCGGUAAUACGGAGGAUCCGAGCGUUAUCCGGAUUUAUUGGGUUUAAAGGGAGCGUAGGUGGAUUGUUAAGUCAGUUGUGAAAGUUUGCGGCUCAACCGUAAAAUUGCAGUUGAAACUGGCAGUCUUGAGUACAGGAGAGGUGGGCGGAAUUCGUGGUGUAGCGGUGAAAUGCUUAGAUAUCACGAAGAACUCCGAUUGCGAAGGCAGUUCACUGGACUGCAACUGACACUGAGGCACGAAAGUGUGGGUAUCAAACAGGAUUAGAUACCCCUGUAGUC
Molecule: ribosomal RNA, 460 nt
Filed under: uncultured bacterium
Lineage: Bacteria
Description: partial 16S ribosomal RNA
Rfam family: Bacterial small subunit ribosomal RNA
Source: RNAcentral